RNAcentral lists this ribosomal RNA (443 nucleotides) under uncultured bacterium. RNAcentral describes it as "partial 16S ribosomal RNA". It matches the Rfam family "Bacterial small subunit ribosomal RNA", at positions 338 to 795 of the family's 1533-position model. The record is from RNAcentral.
CCUACGGGUGGCAGCAGUGGGGAAUAUUGGGCAAUGGGGGCACGCUUGUCCCAGCAACGCCGCGUGAAGGAAGAAGGCCCCCGGGUUGUAAACUUCUUUUAACAGGGACGAAGAAAGUGACGGUACCUGUUGAAUAAGCCACGGGCAACUACGUGCCAGCAGCCGCGGUAAUACGUAGGUGGGAAGGGUUAGCCGGAUUUACUGGGUGUAAAGGGCGAGGAGGGGGGAGAGGCAGUCAGACUGGAAAUUCCAGGGCUCAACCCUGGAGCUGCGUUUGAAACUGUUCUUCUUGAGUGAUGGAGAGGCAGGCGGAAUUCCGUGUGUAGCGGUGAAAUGCGUAGAUAUACGGAGGAACACCAGUGGCGAAGGCGGCCUGCUGGACAUUAACUGACGCUGAGGCGCGAAAGCGUGGGGAGCAAACAGGAUUAGAUACCCCAGUAGUC